CUGCUGGCUUUGACAGCAUAUAUACUAAAAUAGGAAGAUACAGAGAAGAUUAGCAUGGCCUCUGCACAAGAAAUUAAAAAAAGAAAAGAAACUAAACCCUUC
RNAcentral lists this small nuclear RNA (102 nucleotides) under Salvator merianae (Argentine black and white tegu). The record is from RNAcentral. Lineage: Eukaryota; Metazoa; Chordata; Lepidosauria; Squamata; Teiidae.